AGUCUGUGAUGAAGAUAUAACCGUGCCUGAGACGAGUCUCAAUAGAGAUUGUCACUGACGGCGCAAUCCUCUAAGAAGUUCUGAGCUC
Lupinus angustifolius (narrow-leaved blue lupine) is the source of this 88-nucleotide non-coding RNA. The record is from Rfam. Lineage: Eukaryota; Viridiplantae; Streptophyta; Magnoliopsida; Fabales; Fabaceae.